GCCGCAUCCAGAAAGAAAAACACAGAACCGCGAAACGUCGAGACAGAGAUAGCAAUUUGAUUUUGAGGGUCCUUCACCAUUCUCUUUGAUUUUCGGGUUGUGGCCUACUUCCUCUCAAAAAAGAUGAAGUGGAAUACUCUAAUUUCAUCACAGCAAAGACCCCAGCUUCUUUUCCAAUUUCCUCCUUCAGUAACCCAUGGAUUAUUUUCUGCUUUCUGUUAUGCACAGCGAAAGACCAAAUCUAUAUAGUUUAGAAGCUGUCUGCAAAUUCCAGCAAUAGCAAAGUGAAAAGGGAAAAGAAAGCUAUGAGUAAUGGACACAGACAUGAGUUAUUAGAAUACUAAACAAUUGUAUCUUUUUGGUGAUUUGCUAUUG
This is a long non-coding RNA of Quercus lobata, 375 nucleotides long. RefSeq lists it as uncharacterized. The record is from RefSeq and is a predicted model, not a curated record. The transcript is spliced from 4 exons. Lineage: Eukaryota; Viridiplantae; Streptophyta; Magnoliopsida; Fagales; Fagaceae.